Long non-coding RNA from Tupaia belangeri chinensis (Chinese tree shrew), 580 nucleotides. RefSeq lists it as uncharacterized. NCBI's taxonomy places the organism in Eukaryota, Metazoa, Chordata, Mammalia, Scandentia, Tupaiidae. The record is from RefSeq and is a predicted model, not a curated record. The transcript has 3 exons.
GGCCUUUUACGUUCCGGGAAACGCUAAGAUCAGGUUUGAGCGAUCAGGUUUGAGCGUAGGGUUGUAUUUUCUGUGCCAUAAUUAUUAGGUGGAAACCGACUGACUUAACUAAAAUGCAGGUGAUUCAAGACUCUUGUUGCAGUGGGCGGUGGGGAACCCAAGCCAGAGUGGACGUAGAUGUUCGUUAGGUCACGGGUCGGCCACGUGCGGUCCGGAGUCCCGGCCUAUGCGGGCCGUGGGCCUUUAAGGAAGGGUUCAGUGCACCUGAUGUUCAUGUGAAGAAGCUCAUGUUUUCUGCUAAGUGUCGUGUGGCCAUUUUGGGGGUACCCUGUCAAAAUUAGUGCCACAGCACCUAAGAACCGUCGCGUUUUGAUCCAGAUGGAAGCUGAGCUUAACUGUGCAGAUGGGAGAUGGAAACAUAAGGUAUCAAGAAAACCAACGUGAUAAGUGUCAGCGUUCUGCAGUGGGUCGUCAAACGUAAAUCUUAGGGCACUAGUUUGACUAUAGGCCUUUCUUUUUUUAGUUACUAUCUUAAGAUGGCAUUAGUACAAUUAAAUAAAAUGCUUUACUUUUUUAGAUA